Molecule: long non-coding RNA, 1282 nt
Organism: Girardinichthys multiradiatus
Lineage: Eukaryota; Metazoa; Chordata; Actinopteri; Cyprinodontiformes; Goodeidae
Exons: 3
Source: RefSeq, a predicted model, not a curated record
AUGCAGCCGCAUUCUUAAAAUGAAAAAGCAUUUCUGGAAAUGCUUUUUCAUUUGAAAUAUGGUAACGAUUUGCUUCCAUAAUCACCAGGGCGGUUUUUUUUUUUUCUUUAGUGGACAACUACGCUGAGAUUCCAACCGUUCUGCACAGAGGAUCAGAGACACAGUCUUCACUAUAUUUGCCAGGUCAUCAUGAAGCUCCCACACACAUGGAGCUCUUCGGCAGUAUGCAAUGUAAUGUCCCAGACCAUCUUUAGUCAAGCUUCCCUUAAAAGCAACGACUCCUCUCAAAGUGAAUGUCUUUCCUUGGAGAGCAACAAUGGGGGGAAAUUCACUCAAAGGAAACUGAGUUGUGUUUGCAAGUGGGCGAAGGCAGGGAGACUCCGGAAGGAAGAGUCCGUUUUCCACUGAAAUGUCAAGCUGAGCCAUGCCACAGUCCAUCAGCACAGAAAUGUCAGGAGAAACAAAUGGUACUUCCCUUGUUCCUUUGUUUAGCUGGCAGAACUGUGAAGAGCAGUGUUUUGAGACGUAAACGCUAGUUAUAUUUCUCAUUGUUUUUCCAAUGACCGUGGAGAUAUUGCACUGGGCAUCGAUUUGAUGGGCACCAGACCUCAACUGGAUUUUUUCAAACAUUGCACUUAGCACCUCUGCCCUCUGUGAAUAGAUCUUUGGGGUCACACCAUCUGUAGCAAUGGCUUUUACCAGCAGCAAGAUAGGGUUGUCACUGUUGUUCCUGACAACAUUUUGAAAUGUCACAGAAAGCACAGCAUAAGCACUGACAAAACGCAUCAAAUGCACAUGUGUUCAGAACAGAGAUUGUUGAUUUCCCAACUCUAAUCGUUUGAUGCAGGUUUCCAUUUUUUAAUAGUCCCACUUUCACUCUUUUUGCCAAAGAGUAGACACAUUUUUAAUUUACAAAUAAAGCCACGUAGAUUUAAAAAAAACAUUUCAUAUAAUGCAUGUUUUUUAUAUUAGUACUUCAUUUUACACACUAUUUGAUAUUAUUUUUGGUAAUGAAUUCAUGUAAUAAACAAAAAAUCUGAGGAGCCACUUGGGAGCCGAAAGAGCCGGCACUUUUUAGUGAACAGAGCCAAAAGAACCGGCUCUCAAAAAAGAGCCGGAAUGCCCAUUAACUCUGAUCCUCUGUGCAGAAUAGAGGGUGACACGGAAGUGGAUUUUCUCUCCUGUCCCAUCCCGCUCCCACAGAAAAAUGUCUUGUUCCAUCCCAAUCCCAGGCCAGCAUAACGAAAAAAAUCCUGUCCCGUCCCACUCCUAGUAAAUUGAC